Molecule: ribosomal RNA, 359 nt
Filed under: uncultured bacterium
Lineage: Bacteria
Description: bacterial SSU rRNA
Rfam family: Bacterial small subunit ribosomal RNA
Source: RNAcentral
UGGGGAAUCUUGCGCAAUGGGCGAAAGCCUGACGCAGCGACGCCGCGUGUGGGAUGAAGGUCUUCGGAUUGUAAACCACUGUCGGGAGGGACGAAGCUCUGACGGUACCUCCAAAGGAAGCACCGGCUAACUCUGUGCCAGCAGCCGCGGUAAUACAGAGGGUGCGAGCGUUGUCCGGAAUUACUGGGCGUAAAGCGUGCGCAGGCGGUUAUGCAAGACAGGUGUGAAAUCCCCGGGCUUAACCUGGGAACUGCACUUGUGACUGCAUAGCUGGAGUACGGUAGAGGGAAGUGGAAUUUCCGGUGUAGCGGUGAAAUGCGUAGAUAUCGGAAGGAACACCAGUGGCGAAGGCGACUUCC